GACGAACGCUGGCGGCGUGCUUAACACAUGCAAGUCGAACGAAGAGCGAUGGAAGCUUGCUUCUAUCAAUCUUAGCGGCGAACGGGUGAGUAACGCGAAAUCAACCUGCCCUUCAGAGGGGGACAACAGUUGGAAACGACUGCUAAUACCGCAUACGAUCUAAUCUCGGCAUCGAGGAUAGAUGAAAGGUGGCCUCUACAUGUAAGCUAUCACUGAAGGAGGGGAUUGCGUCUGAUUAGCUAGGUGGAGGGGUAACGGCCCAGCAAGGCGAUGAUCAGUAGCCGGUCUGAGAGGAUGAGCGGCCGCAUUGGGACUGAGACACGGCCCAGACUCCUACGGGAGGGGGCAGGGGGGAAUCUGGCGCAAGGGAUGAAAGUCUGAGGGAGCAAGGCCGCGGGAGGGAUGACGGCCUUCGGGUUGUAAAGGUCUGUUAAUCGGGAGGAAAGGCCUUCUUGCGAAUAGGGAGAAAGAUUGACGGUACCGGAAUAGAAAGCCACGGCUAACUACGUG
Molecule: ribosomal RNA, 510 nt
Filed under: uncultured bacterium
Lineage: Bacteria
Description: partial 16S ribosomal RNA
Rfam family: Bacterial small subunit ribosomal RNA
Source: RNAcentral